Molecule: small nuclear RNA, 114 nt
Filed under: Macaca nemestrina (pig-tailed macaque)
Lineage: Eukaryota; Metazoa; Chordata; Mammalia; Primates; Cercopithecidae
Description: U5 spliceosomal RNA (ENSMNEG00000008395.1)
Rfam family: U5 spliceosomal RNA
About the family: U5 RNA is a component of both types of known spliceosome.
Source: Rfam by way of RNAcentral
AUACUCUGGUUUCUCUUCAGAUCAUACAAAUCUCUCACCCUUUACUAAAGAUUUCUUUGAAGAGGAACAAUUCUAUGCCUUAACCCAAUUUUUGAGGCCCUGUAUCUACAAGGC